GUGCCCUAUGAUAGCAAUAACAUUGCAAUGACAACCUUGCAUUAUAAUUUCCCUGCUUAUAGAUUUUUUUUCUCCAUUAAAUGGUGGGUUCCUGCUCAUAUUUUUAUCUCCAGUACUUUCCCAAAUAUUGGAUGGUAAGUGGCACUCAAUGUACAUUUGUUGAAUAAACGAGUAGUAAUCUUAUAAGUAAUAACUGGCUUGUUAUUUGGUUAAUGAACUGAUGUGGCUUUGUAAUGUGUCAACUUGGGUAGGCUGAACUGUGUUUAUAAGAUUUCUUUUAUCUGAACUUUUCUGUUAGGAUGAUUCUUGAGGAACGUAUCUGCAUAAGAUUUAGAGGGCAGAGGUCAUGUUAUUGGUUAAUGCUUAAAUGUUGAGGCAAGAUUAUCAGAUGCAAACUCACAAACAUAUUUACUUAUUUGGUGCUCACUUCCUCGUGUGGGGAGGCAGCCAGGACUAUAACUGCUUCACCUGUGCCUGGAUCUGCUUUGAGUUUUUCCAUCUGGCUCACCAACUUCUGUGUUUAACUCCAUCAGAAAGGGUGUCCCAAGGCAUAAUUCUAUCUUCAAGUUCAAAAGCAUCGAGAAAUGAUAGUAGAUCCAGUCUGUCUUUGUGGAUUCCAGCUUCCUUGUGUGUUCUAUCUGGUCCCUCACUGUGUAGCCAUCUUGCCUCCUGACAGCCUGCCCUGUGGACUUCAAGCCCUAGCACCAGAUGCACAGACAACAGUUUUACUGAAAAUGCCCAACCGGCAUGACUGGGUCAGGUCAAAUUUCUGUAACAAGUCCCUUUAUGAACACAUACACAUGCUUCCAGACAUACAUCUAAGUAUAUGUGUACUUGUACUUCCCACUGGUUCUACUUGUCUGAUUGAACCCUAGUAGAUGCAGCUGGCCUGUGAGACCUUGGAGAUAAGUUGCCUACAUGCAUUUCUCCGUGUACAUGUACAUGUGCUUAUGUGGGCAUGAAUGUGUGUGUACAUGACAUGCAAAGGCACUGUUGGUUCAAGUAAUUCUCAUUAUUGAAACAAACAUCCUUAAAACAAACCUCUCAUCAACUUGGACAUAAUAACAUUUUUUUUCCUGCUCUAUAAAUUCUAGUGUGUGCAUCCCUGAAUAUUGAGGAAAGUACAUUUUUUUUCUUUUUUCUUUUUGUAACUUAUUUAGAAACUCAGACUAAGAAGAUUGUGCCAUUUUCAAGAUGUGGCUUCUGAUAUCUUUCUGGGCAAGAACAUUAGACCAGCAGAUGGGAGAAGAGAGAAGAUGGAGGAUUCCUACCUACUUCUUAACCACCUUAGGUUAGAAAUGACACUUACUGUUCUGCUUCUAAUCCACUGGCAAGAACUACUUCUAUCACAUCCCUUAGAAGCAUGAGGCGGUGCUGGAAAAUGGCAUCGUAGCUGGGACAGUCCUUUCCCAGCUAGAACUGCAUCACGGAAGGGGAGCCCAAGUGUUGGGGCAACAGCUGCUAUCACUCCCACACAGACUCUUAUGUAAAACAAUGUUGAUUGAAUCAGAAAAAAAAACUCAAUAAUCUUGUUUGUUAAAUUUUAGCCUGGUGUACAGUUUGCUUGGAGGAAAAAAGAGAAAGAGAGUCAGUCUGUGGGGAGCCAGAGAGGAGAUCCUUCCAACUUCAGGAUGGAGUGUCCUAUUGUAUCCUGAGGCAAAUGGAAGCAAACAAAGCUUGCAGCCACUUUAGGAAAUCUGGCCCUUGGAGAGCAAGCUAAAAUUGAAAAAUCCAUUUGAAAAUAUGGUGUUAAUUUCCAACAGCAUUAACAUUCCAGUUGCAUCUGAAUAUGUCUUAAGGCCAGCUCCGGAUGCACUGGCCCCACUACAGUUUGAUCUCUCAUUUGGAGCUGGCCAGCUGCAAGUAGCCAUCACUGGUCAGGAAUAAGUGGCCAUGUACCAGGUUUUAGCACAUUUUUCUGAACAAGUUGCUUGGCUGGGUGUUCAGGCCUUUCUCCUUCUGUCUCUCUGGGUUUGGCAGCAUUUAUGCAGAAGUCGAAGUCAACUUCUACUUGAAUCUAAUUCUGCAUUCUUUAAAUAUGCUUUAUAUUAAGUAUUUUCAGUUUCCUACAUAAAUAAGUGAUCAUAAAUUUGCAAUAUAGAAAGAAAACAACAUCUAAUUAGAACUCACAUAUGUUUAUGUUUUUUAUCCAUUUACUCAUUUGUAUAUAAAAUUGUUUUUCAUUCCAUUUUUUCCUGUUUUGAUUUUCCUGUUUUGGCAUUUUUCCCUUAUGUUUUUUUUCUCGAGCUAAAAUCUUGUGAUCUAAUACAAAUCAAAAAGGCAAGAAUUACUAAGGACAGUGUAUAAUUCAACAAGCAGUAUAGUUGCUAAACAAAAUAUUUCUGUUAAGAAAAGAAUGACAUAUAUUAAUAGGAUAUAAUUUUGAUGUAAAUCCUUAUACCUAAGCUAAAUAAACCUACACUCCUAGUAAAGGUAAUGCUUAAUGGCUCCUCAUAUGGAAAAUACUUAAGAGUUCCAUAUGUCUGUAAAUACAAUGUAAGAAGGAAAAUGAGAUGGAUUUUCAAAAUAACCCUUAUAAAUUCAGAUUUUACUAACAAAAUGAUAGAAUUCCAAUUAUUGGAAAUGAAACAUUGUUGUUUUAACUGGUCACCAUCUAAUGUUUCAGAUUUAUAAGUGAAUAUGUUGUCUAUUUUAGGUGGUAUAGUUUGUUACAGAUUAACCCUUUCAAAAAUAACAAUUGACAGAUGGACAGAACACCUCCCAACACACACACACACACACACACACACACACACUUCUGUUUGAACACCCUGAAGUACUCUCUAGAUAGCCAUGAUUUGAGGUAUCAAGAACCCAGACAACACCCAUGCUCAACCUACAGGGAUUAGGGAAGGUCACCCCCAUAUCCUAUACUUCCAGAAACAUGGAUACCAGUGAAACACCCCAAACUUAAUCUGCAAAUGCCAUGAAAACCAAGAGAAGUUCUCCUUCAUAACCCAUAGACUUCAGUCCAUAGCUGCUGGUGCUAAAAGUGUUGGUACCAUUUAUGUUUGUUCCUUGGGAGCUGGAGAAGGUAUCAUCUGGUUCCUGCAGCUCUACAACAAGUAACAAUGCUCCAAUAUGUAUUUUUACUUUGGUGCAGAGGGUCUGUGGCAGAGUCGCACAUAGGGCACCAUGGCUACUGGUGAUAUACUCUUGGUGUCACCCGUGCUUGCCCUGAGGAAACUGAGGAUACUCUUCUACAUCCUGCCCCAUUAAGACUGUCAGUAGCAGGUACAAAUCCCAGUGUUAUUAAGGUUCAACUCUGUGGAACAUGAAGACAGACCUUUGGAGCCUAUAUCCACUACAAAUUCAUACAAUUACCUUCAUAAAUUGUUGUAACCUACACUACUGAGGCACGGAAAGACACUGCUGAUAUUAAUCCAGUUAAAAAUGUGCUAAAGAAUUAAUAGACACUAUUCAAAAGAAUGGUCAACAAGCACUUGAAAAAAUAUUAUUUCUCACUAAUCAUGAAGGAAAUGCUAAUCAAAAUCACUAUUAUGUAUAACUAAAAAGAACAAAAAUUUUAAAAAUUAAAAGAAAUAAUAAUGAGAUAUCAUCUCACUUGGGUUGGAAAUGGCUAUAAUCAAAAAGUCGAAAAUUACAAAAGCUGGUGAGGAUUCAGAGAAAGAAGAACUCAUACAUUGCAGGUGGGAAUGUAUAUCAGUACGACUAUUAUAUACUAUAUUUUGGAGAUUCCUCAAAAACCUAAAAAUAGAUCUACCAUAUAAUCCCUAAUCAAGGAUUAAGGAAGGUCAUCCCCAUAUCCUACUAAAAGGAUAUCUGCAUUCUCAUGUUUAUUAAACCUCACUAUUCACAGUAGCUAAAAUAUGGAAUCAACCUGGAUGCCCUUCAGUGGAUGAAUGAAUAAACAAAAUGUGGUAUGUAUAAACAAUGAGAUAUUUAUUAUUCAGUCAUAAAAAAGAAUGAAACCCUGUCAUUUGCAGCAAUGUGGAAGGAAAUAGAAGCUAUUAUGUUAAGAGAAAUAAAUCACACCUAAAAAGAUAAAUGCCAUAUGUUUUCUCUCUCUUAUGGAAAGCAAGUCAAUGUUAUAGAAGAACUGAAUGGAAUAGUUGUCACUAAGCAGUAGGUAGAGAGGAUGGAAAGACAUUCAAUAAAGGUACCAAAACACAGAGUGGAGAAAUUACUUCUGAUUCUUCCCUAGUAUAGUAGGGUGACUAUUUGUUAAGAUAACCCAUGAUAAAUUUCAAAAUGACUAAAAAAUAUAUGAAAUUCCAAAUACAUAAAUGAUUAAUGUUUGAAGAGAUUAAAAUAUUCAUUACCAUGAUAAGAUUGUUAUGUAUUGUAUACAUGCAUUUAAUUAC
RNAcentral lists this long non-coding RNA (4325 nucleotides) under Marmota monax (woodchuck). Lineage: Eukaryota; Metazoa; Chordata; Mammalia; Rodentia; Sciuridae. The record is from RNAcentral.